RNAcentral lists this ribosomal RNA (460 nucleotides) under uncultured bacterium. Its description in RNAcentral is "partial 16S ribosomal RNA". It matches the Rfam family "Bacterial small subunit ribosomal RNA", at positions 338 to 795 of the family's 1533-position model. The record is from RNAcentral.
CCUACGGGAGGCAGCAGUGAGGAAUAUUGGUCAAUGGGCGUAAGCCUGAACCAGCCAAGUCGCGUGAGGGAUGAAGGUUCUAUGGAUCGUAAACCUCUUUUAUAAGGGAAUAAAGUGCGGGACGUGUCCCGUUUUGUAUGUACCUUAUGAAUAAGGAUCGGCUAACUCCGUGCCAGCAGCCGCGGUAAUACGGAGGAUCCGAGCGUUAUCCGGAUUUAUUGGGUUUAAAGGGUGCGUAGGCGGGCGUUUAAGGCAGCGGUGAAAGUCUGCGGCUCAACCAUAGAAUUGCCGUUGAAACUGGGAGCCUUGAGUAUGUUUGAGGCAGGCGGAAUGCGUGGUGUAGCGGUGAAAUGCUUAGAUAUCACGCAGAACCCCGAUUGCGAAGGCAGCCUACCAAGCCAUGACUGACGCUGAUGCACGAAAGCGUGGGGAUCAAACAGGAUUAGAUACCCGAGUAGUC